Molecule: transfer RNA, 66 nt
Filed under: Haania sp. JZ-2017
Lineage: Eukaryota; Metazoa; Arthropoda; Insecta; Mantodea; Haaniidae
Description: tRNA-Phe
Source: RNAcentral
UAAUUCAAAUAUCUUAUAAAGAGUAUAAUACUGAAGCUGUUAUUGAGAUAAAUAUAUCUUUGAAUA